Molecule: long non-coding RNA, 1811 nt
Organism: Beta vulgaris subsp. vulgaris (sugar beet)
Lineage: Eukaryota; Viridiplantae; Streptophyta; Magnoliopsida; Caryophyllales; Amaranthaceae
Exons: 2
Source: RefSeq, a predicted model, not a curated record
UCCUUUUUAAUUGCUUUUAUCAUCAUUCAUUUUCUAUAAUUGAUUUUAGAGCUUCGUUUUCGUGCUUAAUUGCUUGAUUGUUGUGCUGUUUAUAUUUUGUCUUUACUCUUGUUUCUUGUGCAAAUCGAAUUGUCGUUGUUGUUUGGCUUAUAUUUAAUGUCGUCUGCUGCUUUUAUUUGGUUCGAAUUUAUUGUAAUUUGCUAUCACUACACUAUAUACUGCCUGUAAUAGCAUUGAUUUGUUACAUGUAGAUUUGUUCUGAAAAUUAUUGUUGAAGUAAUAUAAUAGAGGUAUGCUUUAUUCAAGCUUUAUUAUUUCUGCUUAAUUGAAAAUUGGUAGCUCUAAUCAAACUUAAUUGAACCUAAAAGAGAUGAAAUGGACUUAAUUAUUCUUUGAACUAGUUGAUUUAAGGUGAACGAACAAGACAUUCACUUGCUAAGAGUGGUAAAAGUGUUGUUAGGAAUUGUUAAUUUAAAGAGUAAGGGAGUCCUAGCCUAAAAUUAUGACACACAUAGGAAAUGCAGUGUUAAUUUAAGUCCUAAGAAUCUUGUAUAUGUUAAUUUUUUGAGUGCUUUUAUUUCAUUCUAGCAAGUGUUUGAUAAUGUAUGUUAUAGCCUAUUUUACUCUGUAGUGCUUCUAAUGGUAGAGUUUCAUGCACUUGGUUAGAACCUUGAAUAGUUGAAUGUGAGUUGGUUUGGUUAAGUUUUUCUUCGAAUUUUAAAGACUAGCUACGUAUUAUUCAUACCUAAAGUCAUGUUAUUUGAAAUUUGUUCUAUUUGUAUUUCCAUUUUUUAUACGGAGUAAGUCUUUAAUGUACAAUCCCUCAAGUUAAUUUGUCCUAGAUAGCAUGUUUUAUAGUAGUCUGCUUUGUUACCACACUUAGAUUGUAUAUUCAUUGGGGUCAAUUUUGGUCUCGUUAUUUUAAAAAAAAAAUUAUAUUUGAAGCGAUUUUGGGUGGUUUGUUGUUGUACCUUUGUGUGAUUGAGAUAGCUAAAAAUAGGGUAGUUCUAUGGUGGCCAAAUGGUUUUUGCUUGGAGGUGAAUCGGUGGAAGCGAGUGCGACUCAGGGAACUUGGAUCAAGUUUGUUGCGUGUAAGACUCAAAAUUUGGUUUAGUUUUUGUGUGAAUUGUAUCCUAUCCUUAAUGUAGGAGAAAGUUUCUAUAAGUAGUUGAAUGUCUCCAAAGUCAUUGCUAAAGCUGCUUGCCCGUUGAAUAGAUAUUUGCCUUAAUGCUUAUUAAUUUCUUAAUGGGACUUGGUCGGGAAACGAAUCAGGUACAAGUUAGGUAUGCAAAUGAAGUAAACAAGCUGUUCACGAGUGUAUCGGCUCAUUGACGCCCCUAGUUUCAUCCUUGUAAAUUACAACUUUUGAUUGCUUUGGGGUGUUGAUUCUUCUACUUAGAGGUUGUUCUUUACUCCUUUGGCUUCUUCUUGAUUGAGUGAAUGCUUAUGAUAUUGCAGAGAUAACAAGAGCCUAACGGGUACAACACCUUAUGCAAGUGUUAAUACUCAUCUUGGAAUUGAUGCCUAGGAAUCUAACUAUUUGCAAACAAUUGAAGAAUAAUAUGAGGAAGAAAAAUGGAUUACACUAACAGAGACUGAGGCUUUCAUUAAAUAUCAUUUUUUCUUUCUCUUCUAGUUUCCAAUUAGACUGAGGCUUUCAUUAAAUACCAAUUUUUCUUUCUCUUCUAGUUUCCAAUUCCUGUUUAGUUUAACACUUGUGAACAACCAAAGAGAAAUGUUAGUUUAUUAAGGUGUUUUUGUAAAUGACAAUUAUAUUUAUCUAUAUAGUAACUUUUUAUUGAUUCGUUAAA